GUAGAUAAAAAUACAGACAACUAUUGGAAUUUCAACUUUGGAAUUGAGCAGCCAACUUGCUGUAGAUAUUAUGGCAGACCUCUAAGCCAUUAUUACACAUGGAGGACACAUGUUGCAAGUGAUACGGGUUGUUCAUCUGGAAUUUUUUCUGCUCCGGUUUUUUUUUUUGUCUAACACUGUGGGAAAAUGUGAAGAGGAUACACAAAAUGCAACAGCCAGACUUCCGUUGUGUUGGGUUAAUGCGGCAUAUAACUAAAAGCAGCCAACAGGAUGUUGCAAUGAAACAAAAAAAAUAAAAACCCAAACAAAAAUCUUAAACUCAACAACAACAAAAAGAAACAAAAACCAGACCUUGUUCAUCUCCUGAGGGAUGCAGCUAGGAAACAUGGGAAACAUGUGUUCAACAUUGAAAAACUUUCGAAAAAAACGAUAAAAAUAAAAAAUUGAGAGAGGCAUAGUUUCAAAGAGGAAAAACGCAAGAUUUAAUGAAUGACAAACGAUAUUUUACAAUUUUUUUGCUCAUUCUUAUAACUUGCUAUGUUUUUGCCAUCUAACAACA
Molecule: long non-coding RNA, 559 nt
Organism: Stomoxys calcitrans (stable fly)
Lineage: Eukaryota; Metazoa; Arthropoda; Insecta; Diptera; Muscidae
Exons: 2
Source: RefSeq, a predicted model, not a curated record